UGGUACUUGGAGAGUGGUUAUCCCUGUCCUGUUCGUGUUACUCAUGUCGAAUCGUACAGGGUCAUCCACUUUUUCAGUAUCA
MicroRNA precursor from Ictidomys tridecemlineatus (thirteen-lined ground squirrel), 82 nucleotides. NCBI's taxonomy places the organism in Eukaryota, Metazoa, Chordata, Mammalia, Rodentia, Sciuridae. The record is from Ensembl.